UACGGAGGGUGCGAGCGUUGUCCGGAAUCAUUAGGCGUAAAGCGCGCGCAGGCGGUCCUUUAAGUCUGAUGUGAAAGCCCACGGCUCAACCGUGGAGGGUCAUUGGAAACUGGGGGACUUGAGUACAGAAGAGAAGAGUGGAAUUCCACGUGUAGCGGUGAAAUGCGUAGAGAUGUGGAGGAACACCAGUGGCGAAAGCGACUUCCUGGACCAGUACCGACGUUCAGGCACGAAAGCGUGGGGAGCAAACAGG
RNAcentral lists this ribosomal RNA (253 nucleotides) under uncultured bacterium. RNAcentral describes it as "partial 16S ribosomal RNA". It matches the Rfam family "Bacterial small subunit ribosomal RNA", at positions 524 to 776 of the family's 1533-position model. The record is from RNAcentral.